This 315-nucleotide unclassified non-coding RNA is filed under the name plant metagenome. RNAcentral's name for it is "partial contains 5.8S ribosomal RNA, internal transcribed spacer 2, and large subunit ribosomal RNA". The stretch from base 1 to 105 matches the Rfam family "5.8S ribosomal RNA", at positions 50 to 154 of the family's 154-position model. The record is from RNAcentral.
GAACUGCGAUAAGUAAUGUGAAUUGCAGAAUUCAGUGAAUCAUCGAGUCUUUGAACGCACAUUGCGCCCCCUGGCAUUCCGGGGGGCAUGCCUGUCCGAGCGUCAUUGCUGCCCUUCAAGCCCGGCUUGUGUGUUGGGUCGUCGUCCCCCCCGGGGGACGGACCCGAAAGGCAGCGGCGGCACCGUGUCCGGUCCUCGAGCGUAUGGGGCUUUGUCACCCGCUCGAUUAGGACCGGCCAGGCGCCCGCCGGCGUCAAACCCCAAUCUUUCUAAGGUUGACCUCGGAUCAGGUAGGGAUACCCGCUGAACUUAAGC